GCCCUUGUAGCUCAGCGGCUAGAGCGGCAGUUUCGUAAACUGCAGGCCGAGGGUUCAAAUGCAAGCAAUCUAUGCAAGUUGGGCGGGUUAAAAUCCACCAAGAAAAAAGGUUCUUGUGAGAAAUUCCCUCCAGGGGCU
This 138-nucleotide transfer RNA is filed under the name Candidatus Woesearchaeota archaeon. RNAcentral describes it as "tRNA-Thr". It matches the Rfam family "tRNA". Rfam says of the family: Transfer RNA (tRNA) molecules are approximately 80 nucleotides in length. Their secondary structure includes four short double-helical elements and three loops (D, anti-codon, and T loops). The record is from RNAcentral. Lineage: Archaea; Nanobdellati; Candidatus Woesearchaeota.